CUACGAUUUGAUUCGACCAAUACGAAACCGAGUUCUUCGGUGGUAAGUUGAGGUUGACAAAGCUGUUGUUGAACGGGCUCAAACGCUACAGCAUUUACACUAUUUAUUAGUUCAAAUACACCUGCAGGGUAAUACAGCAAUACUCUAACCAAAAUAACGAUGACUGGAUCAAAUGAGUUUAAACUGAACCAGGGUCCGGAGGACAGCAUUUCGGCGGUGAAGUUCAGCCCUAGCACAGCACAGUUCUUGCUGGUGUCCUCUUGGGACUCAACUGUCCGUCUCUUCGAUGUUGGGGGAAACUCCAUGAGAAUGAAGUACCAGCACCUGGCACCUGUGCUCGAUUGUGCUUUUUAUGAUCCCACGCAUGCCUGGAGUGGGGGCCUGGAUAUGCAGUUGAAAACACAUGACUUAAAUACUGACCAAGAUACAAUAGUGGGAACGCACGAUGCCGCAAUUCGUUGUGUGGAAUACUGCCCGGAAGUGAACGUCAUGGUAACGGGCAGCUGGGAUAGGUCGGUGCGACUGUGGGACCCAAGGACGCCCUGUAAUGCUGGCACCUUCACUCAGCCUGAAAAGGUCUACACGCUGUCUGUGGCAGGAGACCGGCUGAUUGUGGGUACGGCGGGUAGGAGGGUUCUGGUUUGGGAUCUGAGGAACAUGGGAUACGUCCAGCAGAGGAGGGAGUCCAGCCUGAAGUACCAGACUCGCUGCAUCCGAGCCUUUCCCAACAAGCAGGGCUAUGUCCUGAGCUCCAUCGAAGGCCGGGUCGCUGUAGAGUACCUGGACCCCAGCCUGGAAGUGCAGAAGAAGAAAUACGCCUUCAAGUGUCACAGGCUGAAGGAGAACGGCAUCGAGCAGGUCUACCCCGUCAACGCCAUCUCCUUCCACAGUGUCCACAACACCUUUGCCACAGGCGGUUCCGACGGGUUCGUGAACAUCUGGGACCCCUUCAACAAGAAGCGUCUGUGCCAGUUCCACCGCUACCCGACCAGCAUCGCCUCGCUGGCCUUCAGCAACGACGGCUCCACGCUGGCCAUCGCCUCCUCGUACAUGCAGGAGCAGGGCGACAUCAGCCACCCCGAGGACGCCAUCUUCAUCCGCCAGGUCACCGACGCCGAGACCAAGCCCAAGUGAGCCUCGCCUCCCCCAGGUCCCCGCGCCCUCCGCAACCUCCUCAACCUCCUUAGGGUCAACCUGAACCCCUCCCAGAAGCCGCUCUUCAGGCCACGUUGCCCUGAACACCAGGCGGAGGUGUGCAUCUCUUGGGGAAUAUCUGCUGGCAUCCAGUUGAACAUAAAUCCUACUCCCUUUAUCCCUUCCUCCUAUAUAGUCACUCUGUUUUUCUACUUGUAUUUCUGAAAAGGAAGUGUUACAUACACUCAUCCACUCUCUUGCUAAUUAUUUUGCUUUAUAUUCUGAAUUUUCUAACUUUUGUAAUGUGAUCGUUGUUAAUGUGCUUUACAACCUCUCAAAUGUAUAAUCUGCUCAACACUCUUCACGUGACAUUUUCCUCUUUUUGUAUCAACCAUUUUUAAAAAGGACCUCUUGUAUAGUUUAUGCUUGGCAUGAAAAAAUGUUUUUUAAAUGGCAUCUUUCAGUAUUGGUACAUCUUCUGUUCAGCUAUAUCAGUACUGCUCUUAAACAUAGAAGUAUUGUCGCCAAUUAUAAAUUAAAGUUGCCGUUUUUGCAAAAGUGUUUCUGCUAAAACGGCAGUAUUAAUUUUUUUCUUUCUUUUUCUUAUAAGCAAAACUUGGGCCAAUGUUGUAAUUUGUAUUGAAGUAACAUUUUUUUUUCCAAAAGAUCACGUGCCAUCUUUUAAAAUAAAAACUAAAAUGUGUAUAA
This is an RNA transcript of Conger conger (European conger), 1842 nucleotides long. It is a transcript of the gene named mitotic checkpoint protein BUB3, with no coding region annotated. The transcript has 8 exons. The record is from RefSeq and is a predicted model, not a curated record. Lineage: Eukaryota; Metazoa; Chordata; Actinopteri; Anguilliformes; Congridae.